RNAcentral lists this ribosomal RNA (404 nucleotides) under uncultured bacterium. RNAcentral's name for it is "bacterial SSU rRNA". It matches the Rfam family "Bacterial small subunit ribosomal RNA", at positions 355 to 776 of the family's 1533-position model. The record is from RNAcentral.
UGGGGAAUCUUAGACAAUGGGGGCAACCCUGAUCUAGCCAUGCCGCGUGAGUGAUGAAGGCCUUAGGGUCGUAAAGCUCUUUCGCCAGGGAUGAUAAUGACAGUACCUGGUAAAGAAACCCCGGCUAACUCCGUGCCAGCAGCCGCGGUAAUACGGAGGGGGUUAGCGUUGUUCGGAAUUACUGGGCGUAAAGCGCGCGUAGGCGGGUUGUUAAGUUAGAGGUGAAAUCCCGGGGCUCAACCCCGGAACUGCCUUUAAUACUGGCAACCUAGAGUUCGAGAGAGGUGAGUGGAAUUCCGAGUGUAGAGGUGAAAUUCGUAGAUAUUCGGAGGAACACCAGUGGCGAAGGCGGCUCACUGGCUCGAUACUGACGCUGAGGUGCGAAAGUGUGGGGAGCAAACAGG